ACUCCUACGGGAGGCAGCAGUGGGGAAUAUUGCACAAUGGGCGCAAGCCUGAUGCAGCCAUGCCGCGUGUGUGAAGAAGGCCUUCGGGUUGUGAAGCAACUUUCAGUCGUGAGGAAGGUAGUGUAGUUAAUAGCUGCAUUCAUUUGACGUUAGCGACAGAAGAAGCACCGGCUAACUCCGUGCCAGCAGGCCGCGGUAAUACGGAGGGUGCGAGCGUUAAUCGGAAUUACUGGGCGUAAAGGCGCAUGCAGGUGGUUUGUUAAGUCAGAUGUGAAAGCC
RNAcentral lists this ribosomal RNA (279 nucleotides) under uncultured bacterium. RNAcentral's name for it is "partial 16S ribosomal RNA". It matches the Rfam family "Bacterial small subunit ribosomal RNA", at positions 335 to 602 of the family's 1533-position model. The record is from RNAcentral.